Molecule: ribosomal RNA, 441 nt
Filed under: uncultured bacterium
Lineage: Bacteria
Description: partial 16S ribosomal RNA
Rfam family: Bacterial small subunit ribosomal RNA
Source: RNAcentral
CCUACGGGGGGCAGCAGUGGGGAAUAUUGCACAAUGGGCGAAAGCCUGAUGCAGCAACGCCGCGUGAAGGAAGACGGCCUUCGGGUCUUAAACUUCUGUCCUUGGGGAAGAAGAACUGACUGUACCCAAGGAGGAAGCCCCGGCAAACUACGUGCCAGCAGCCGCUGGAAUACGUAGGGGGCAAGCGGUAUCCGGAAUUCUUGGGUGUAAGGAGUACGUAGGUGGCAACCUAAGCGCAGGGUUUAAGGCAAUGGCUCAACCAUUGUUCGCCCUGCGAACUGGGUUGCUUGAGUCCAGGAGAGGAAAGCGGAAUUCGUAGUGUAGCGGUGAAAUGCGUAGAUAUUAGGAGGAACACCAGUGGCGAAGGCGGCUUUCUGGAGUGUAACUGACACUGAGGUACGAAAGCGUGGGGAGCAAACAGGAUUAGAUACCCUUGUAGUC